This 468-nucleotide ribosomal RNA is filed under the name uncultured bacterium. RNAcentral describes it as "bacterial SSU rRNA". It matches the Rfam family "Bacterial small subunit ribosomal RNA", at positions 28 to 491 of the family's 1533-position model. The record is from RNAcentral.
GAUGAACGCUAGCGGCAGGCUUAACACAUGCAAGUCGAGGGGCAGCACGGGUAGCAAUACCUGGUGGCGACCGGCGCAAGGGUGCGUAACGCGUGAGCAACAUGCCCUAUACAGGGGGAUAAUCCAAGGAAACUUGGUCUAAUAUCCCAUAGUAUUUAGAGGAGGCAUCUUCUAUAAAUUAAAGCUUCGGUGGUAUAGGAUUGGCUCGCGUGACAUUAGCUAGAUGGUGAGGUAACGGCUCACCAUGGCAAUGAUGUCUAGGGGUUCUGAGAGGAAGGCCCCCCACACUGGGACUGAGACACGGCCCAGACUCCUACGGGAGGCAGCAGUGAGGAAUAUUGGACAAUGGAUGGAAAUCUGAUCCAGCCAUGCCGCGUGCAGGAAGACAGCCCUAUGGGUUGUAAACUGGCUUUUAUAUGGGAGCAAUAAGGUCUACGUGUAGACUGAUGAGGUACCAUAUGAAUAAGC